Molecule: ribosomal RNA, 254 nt
Filed under: uncultured bacterium
Lineage: Bacteria
Description: partial 16S ribosomal RNA
Rfam family: Bacterial small subunit ribosomal RNA
Source: RNAcentral
UACAGAGGGUGCAAGCGUUAAUCGGAAUUACUGGGCGUAAAGCGAACGUAGGCGGUUAUCUAAGUCGGAUGUGAAAUCCCCGGGCUCAACCUGGGAAUUGCAUUCGAGACUGAAUAGCUAGAAUGCGGAAGAGGGAAGCGGAAUUUCCGGUGUAGCGGUGAAAUGCGUAGAUAUCAGGGGGAACACCGGUGGCGAAGGCGCACAUCUGGCCCGAUACUGACGCUGACAGCGCGAAAGCUAGGGGAGCAAACGGG